GGGUGCGAUCAUACUAGCGUUAAUGCACCGGAUCCCCUCAGAGCUCCGCAGUUAAGCGCGCUCGGGCUAGAGUACUACCGGGAUGGGUGACCUCUCGGGAAGUCCUAGUGUUGCACCGU
This is a non-coding RNA of Picea glauca (white spruce), 119 nucleotides long. Lineage: Eukaryota; Viridiplantae; Streptophyta; Pinopsida; Pinales; Pinaceae. The record is from Rfam.